RNAcentral lists this ribosomal RNA (684 nucleotides) under uncultured organism. RNAcentral's name for it is "bacterial SSU rRNA". It matches the Rfam family "Bacterial small subunit ribosomal RNA", at positions 214 to 912 of the family's 1533-position model. The record is from RNAcentral.
AUUGGUGUAAGAUAAGCUUGUACAAGAUUAGAUAGUAGGUAAGGUAAUGGCUUACCUAGUCAAUGAUCUUUAGCUGGUCUUAGCGGAUGAUCAGCCACAUUGGGACUGGAACAUGGCCCAACCUCUUUUUGGAGGCAGCAGUGAGGAAUAUUGGACAAUGAACGAAAGUUUGAUCCAGCAAUAUCACGUGAAUGAUGAAGGUUUAUUUUUAUUGUAAAGUUCUUUCGAUGAGGAGGAUAAUGACGUUACUCAUAAAAGAAGUCCCGACUAGCCUCGUGCCAGCAGUCGCGGUAAUACGGGGGGGGCAAGCGUUAUUCUACGUUACUGGGUGUAAAGAGUAUUAAGGCUGUUUGGUAAGUUUCUCUUAAAAUACUAAAACUCAAUUUUAGAAAUAAGUGUAAAUACUGCCGAACUUUGAGUAUAAUAGGAGACCGUUGUAUGUUUAGUGUAAAGGUAGAAUUUUUUAAUAUUAAAAAGACAUUCAAAUGGUGAAGACUACGGCCUAUAUUAUCACUGACGCUGAUAUACAAAAGCGUGAGGAGCAAACAGGAUUAGAUACCCUGGUAGUUCACGCUGUGACCGAUGAAUAUUAAUUAUUGGAAAUUAUUUUUUCAUUAAUUGAGCUAACGCGUUAAAUAUUCCACCUGGGGACUAUAAUCGCAAGAUUGAAACUCAAAGAAAUUG